AAUAAUUAUAAUUAUACACUGUUUAUAUCCAACAUUUGAUCGCUCGUCUUAUUUGAAUUUUUUCUAUGAUUUAUAUUUUUGUUGUUAGUAGAUGAUAAAAUAUAAAUAGUAUUUUAUGUAUGACUAACUUUUUUAAAUAUUUUUAUAAAAUUUUCAAACCUUCGAUACGGAUUCCUACGGCUACACUUAUU
This 191-nucleotide microRNA precursor is filed under the name Oryza barthii. Its description in RNAcentral is "MIR812 microRNA precursor family". It matches the Rfam family "MIR812 microRNA precursor family". The record is from Rfam by way of RNAcentral. Lineage: Eukaryota; Viridiplantae; Streptophyta; Magnoliopsida; Poales; Poaceae.